GACGAACGCUGGCGGCGUGCUUAACACAUGCAAGUCGAACGGAAAGGCCCUGCUUUUGUGGGGUGCUCGAGUGGCGAACGGGUGAGUAACACGUGAGUAACCUGCCCUUGACUUUGGGAUAACUUCAGGAAACUGGGGCUAAUACCGGAUAGGAGCUCCUGCUGCAUGGUGGGGGUUGGAAAGUUUCGGCGGUUGGGGAUGGACUCGCGGCUUAUCAGCUUGUUGGUGGGGUAGUGGCUUACCAAGGCUUUGACGGGUAGCCGGCCUGAGAGGGUGACCGGCCACAUUGGGACUGAGAUACGGACCAGACUCCUACGGGAGGCAGCAGUGGGGAAUAUUGCACAAUGGGAGGAAGCCUGAUGCAGCAACGCCGCGUGCGGGAUAACGGCCUUCGGGUUGUAAACCGCUUUCGCCUGUGACGAAGCGUGAGUGACGGUAAUGGGUAAAGAAGCACCGGCUAACUACGUG
RNAcentral lists this ribosomal RNA (468 nucleotides) under uncultured bacterium. RNAcentral's name for it is "partial 16S ribosomal RNA". It matches the Rfam family "Bacterial small subunit ribosomal RNA", at positions 28 to 507 of the family's 1533-position model. The record is from RNAcentral.